Non-coding RNA from Lolium perenne, 2110 nucleotides. The record is from RefSeq and is a predicted model, not a curated record. Lineage: Eukaryota; Viridiplantae; Streptophyta; Magnoliopsida; Poales; Poaceae.
AUACCACCUCUUCUUUUGUGCGACUCUACCUCGAGCCCCACGCCCUCCCUCCCGCACGCGAACUCGUCUGUCGUCUCCCUCUCUUCCCCUCUCAGCUUUGCCUCUGCCGUCCCUAAAACCCAUCGUUUGAUGGCCGUCCUUGAAUAUGGCUGCCCACGUCGGAGCUGGCGUAGGAGGCGGUGGAUCGGAUCUCUCCUUCAACACGCCCUGCUGGCCGCUCGAUGCAGGGAGGCACAGUCAGAUUAACCGGAGAAAUAGGUGGAGGGAAAGAGGUGAGGAGAAUACAUCAAGGUCAGACGGCAGUGCAGCGCAACCAUGGUGUUCGACUGGUCGUGACCGUCUGUGACCAGCUGUGACGGGCGCUGCUUGGGGAGAGAUGCGGGCGUCGCCGUCGAGCAGCGGCGAGUGCGUCCGAUGGAGACGAUGCCAAGGUCAAGAUUUUCAAGGGAGAUACGCAGAUCCCCAUGUGGUUUUCGUCAGCUGCACAAGAUCUUCUUGGUAUGAUUCUUGAACCAACGGUGGACCUCGGUGGCGAAAGCAAUAGAGGCCAAGGCUCCAUCGCUUUGCCCCUAUCGGUUAUAUAGGCUUACACACUGCUCCUCUCCCUGCUCCUCUGGCGAGAUCGUACAAGCUUGGGGGCAACCAUCUUUAUAUUGUGGCCGGAUGCAUGGUACCUCCUAGGGCAACUCAAGUCACUCCAGAAAAGACACGGCUGAUUGUACAAAAGCAUUAUGAGUUAAUAUCAAAAUUAGUUUGCAAGAAUAUGGACACAACACCUGAGCUUCACACACUUCAGAAGAUCGAUCAUUGUAGUAUGGGGCUCUCUAGGUGAUUGUUCAGGAAUAUAGGAAGCUGCAAAAGGUUAAUGUGCAGGAUUGAAACUUGAGAAUACCGGUUCAGAAAUUAAGAAUGUCAAGGACUUGAUCUGGGGUCUGAAUGAGAAAGAUGGAUUCAACGGAAGCUGAAAAGGGGUUGCAACUAGCUAUGGAAACAUGGGUUUUUGUGAAUUCCGCAAUGUUGAUUCCACUGGUAGGAUAAGCAGGUUUAAGGGCUGAACCUUAUGCUAUGCAGACGUGGUCUCUUUAAUUUCUGGAUGUGUACUGAUAUAAUGACCACAUAAACAAAAUUUGGUGUGCUCUUUUGCAGGUCCACCUAUGAAAGAUACAAGGUUUGGGUGGUAGAUUCUUGUGUGAAAAAAAUCACCAGGUACUCUUAUACCAUGUGAAGACCUUUUAUUACACUACCAGUUUAGAGUUAGACUAAAUAACUUCUCCCUUCAUUUGCUUUCGAUCUUCAAGUGUCCAUUCAGUUCAUGUUCUGAUUAGCUGUACAGUUUGGUCUUUGGAAGGUCAACGACUUUAUUUUUUAUAUUAGACAAUGACUACACUAGGGAGAAGAUACUGAGAAUGGCGAAGACUAUUAUGAAUAGACUUCAAUGGAACCUCAUCAUUCCUUCACCAUAUGUUCUUUGUGCAAUUUGCAGAGGCGGCGACUUCCUCUGAUUUGAAGAAUGAUAAGGAGUUUGGUGUUGUCCCUCCAUGAUUGAUGAUGUUGCUGCUGUCUACGACUCUAUGUAGCUAGGCUCAUCCCAAGAAGACCACUAUAUGGACUGACACCCUCAAGCAUCACACUGGCUUUACUCAAUGUAAUCAUGCACACUAAAUCACACAGCUAAUGUAAAGCAUGCACACUACUGACUUUACAGAAACCUCUUUGCUUAAAUGUUAUGUUCAGAGGAUUUUCAGGGAUAUGCACACUCGAUUUCCCCUGAGUGAAGUCCAAUGUGCUAUAUAAGAAGUUUUCUAGCUACAAGCGGGAAGGAGUCCACGCAUGUAUCUGCUAUUCUGCUACCAAAUAGCAAAUAAAUGGGAAUUUCUAGGAAGUGUUUGCUUUAAAGUGCAACUGAAAGCAUGACUGAUAUUUCAUUUGUUUUGUCAGUUCAAUAGGAAUAUAAGAAGGCAUGAUAUUGCUCUCUUUCUAUGAUAUCAGUUCGUUCUAAGAACAUGUGCUUUGUCUUUAUUACUUUGCAGUUCUAUGUAAGUUUUUUUUGUCAGCCUCUGUAACAGAAAAUAGUAAAAUGGGAGGCUUGAUGUGUAAUUGGUGCAAUUGA